Molecule: ribosomal RNA, 468 nt
Filed under: uncultured bacterium
Lineage: Bacteria
Description: partial 16S ribosomal RNA
Rfam family: Bacterial small subunit ribosomal RNA
Source: RNAcentral
GACGAACGCUGGCGGCGUGCUUAACACAUGCAAGUCGAACGGAAAGGCCCUGCUUUUGUGGGGUGCUCGAGUGGCGAACGGGUGAGUAACACGUGAGUAACCUGCCCUUGACUUUGGGAUAACUUCAGGAAACUGGGGCUAAUACCGGGUAGGAGCUCCUGCUGCAUGGUGGGGGUUGGAAAGUGUCGGCGGUUGGGGAUGGACUCGCGGCUUAUCAGCUUGUUGGUGGGGUAGUGGCUUACCAAGGCUUUGACGGGUAGCCGGCCUGAGAGGGUGACCGGCCACAUUGGGACUGAGAUACGGCCCAGACUCCUACGGGAGGCAGCAGUGGGGAAUAUUGCACAAUGGGCGGAAGCCUGAUGCAGCAACGCCGCGUGCGGGAUGACGGCCUUCGGGUUGUAAACCGCUUUCGCCUGUGACGAAGCGUGAGUGACGGUAAUGGGUAAAGAAGCACCGGCUAACUACGUG